RNAcentral lists this ribosomal RNA (253 nucleotides) under uncultured bacterium. RNAcentral describes it as "partial 16S ribosomal RNA". It matches the Rfam family "Bacterial small subunit ribosomal RNA", at positions 524 to 776 of the family's 1533-position model. The record is from RNAcentral.
GACAGAGGGUGCAAGCGUUGUUCGGAUUUACUGGGCGUAAAGCGCGUGUAGGCGGCUUGGCAAGUCGGAUGUGAAAGCCCACGGCUCAACCGUGGAAGCGCAUCCGAAACUGCUUCGCUCGAGUCUCGGAGAGGAAGGUGGAAUGCUUGGUGUAGAGGUGAAAUUCGUAGAUAUCAAGCAGAACACCUGCGGCGAAGGCGGCCUUCUGGACGAUGGCUGACGCUGAGACGCGAAAGCGUGGGGAGCAAACAGG